Molecule: ribosomal RNA, 322 nt
Filed under: uncultured bacterium
Lineage: Bacteria
Description: bacterial SSU rRNA
Rfam family: Bacterial small subunit ribosomal RNA
Source: RNAcentral
UCAGUGGUGAAAGCCCCCAGCUCAACUGUGGAACUGCCAUUGAUACUGAUCAUCUUGAGUACGUUUGAGGUUGGCGGAAUUCGUCAUGUAGCGGUGAAAUGCUUAGAUAUGACCUAGAACACCGAUUGCGAAGGCAGCCUACUGAGCCGUAACUGACGCUGAUGGACGAAAGCGUGGGGAGCGAACAGGAUUAGAUACCCUGGUAGUCCAGGCCGUAAACGAUGAUUACUAGAUGUUGGAAGAAUACCAGUGCCUAGGCGAAAGUGAUAAGUAUCCACCCUCCCGCGGGGGCCGCAAGGUUGAAACUAAAAAGAAUUGACGG